Molecule: small nuclear RNA, 20 nt
Filed under: Arabidopsis thaliana (thale cress)
Lineage: Eukaryota; Viridiplantae; Streptophyta; Magnoliopsida; Brassicales; Brassicaceae
Description: snRNA_03453
Source: RNAcentral
CCAAGGCUAAAUACGGGCGA